UACGGGGGGGGCAAGCGUUGUUCGGAAUUACUGGGCGUAAAGGGCUCGUAGGCGGCCAACUCAGUCGGACGUGAAAUCCCUCGGCUUAACCGGGGAAUGGCGUCCGAUGCUGGAUGGCUAGAGUUUGGGAGAGGGAUGCGGAAUUCCAGGUGUAGCGGUGAAAUGCGUAGAUAUCUGGAGGAACACCGGUGGCGAAGGCGGCAUCCUGGACCAACACUGACGCUGAGGAGCGAAAGCCAGGGGAGCAAACGGG
RNAcentral lists this ribosomal RNA (253 nucleotides) under uncultured bacterium. RNAcentral describes it as "partial 16S ribosomal RNA". It matches the Rfam family "Bacterial small subunit ribosomal RNA", at positions 524 to 776 of the family's 1533-position model. The record is from RNAcentral.